Molecule: non-coding RNA, 93 nt
Organism: Podarcis lilfordi (Lilford's wall lizard)
Lineage: Eukaryota; Metazoa; Chordata; Lepidosauria; Squamata; Lacertidae
Source: the annotation of a GenBank genome assembly
CUCCAGAUAUUGCUGAAAUGCAACUCUUGUUAGCCUCAGCCACCACGGCCAAUGCAAGGGAUUGUGGGAAUUGUAGUUCAGCAAUGUCUGGAG